RNAcentral lists this ribosomal RNA (754 nucleotides) under bacterium. RNAcentral describes it as "bacterial SSU rRNA". It matches the Rfam family "Bacterial small subunit ribosomal RNA", at positions 1 to 780 of the family's 1533-position model. The record is from RNAcentral.
AGUAACGAGGCUAGAUUAUGUACCCUGGUAGAGUUUGCAUCAUGGCUCGGUGGCGGAUUGAAUACCCGUGGUACGGUUGAGUAAUGUCUGGGAAACUGCCUGAUGGAGGGGGAUAACUACUGGAAACGGUAGCUAAUACCGCAUAACGUCUUCGGACCAAAGAGGGGGACCUUCGGGCCUCUUGCCAUCGGAUGUGCCCAGAUGGGAUUAGCUAGUAGGUGGGGUAACGGCUCACCUAGGCGACGAUCCCUAGCUGGUCUGAGAGGAUGACCAGCCACACUGGAACUGAGACACGGUCCAGACUCCUACGGGAGGCAGCAGUGGGGAAUAUUGCACAAUGGGCGCAAGCCUGAUGCAGCCAUGCCGCGUGUAUGAAGAAGGCCUUCGGGUUGUAAAGUACUUUCAGCGGGGAGGAAGGGAGUGAGGUUAAUAACCUCAUUCAUUGACGUUACCCGCAGAAGAAGCACCGGCUAACUCCGUGCCAGCAGCCGCGGUAAUACGGAGGGUGCAAGCGUUAAUCGGAAUUACUGGGCGUAAAGCGCACGCAGGCGGUCUGUCAAGUCGGAUGUGAAAUCCCCGGGCUCAACCCGGGAACUGCAUUCGAAACUGGCAGACUCGAGUCUUGUAGAGGGGGGUAGAAUUCCAGGUGUAGCGGUGAAAUGCGUAGAGAUCUGGAGGAAUACCGGUGGCGAAGGCGGCCCCCUGGACAAAGACUGACGCUCAGGUGCGAAAGCGUGGGGAGCAAACAGGAUUA